Molecule: long non-coding RNA, 738 nt
Organism: Carassius carassius (crucian carp)
Lineage: Eukaryota; Metazoa; Chordata; Actinopteri; Cypriniformes; Cyprinidae
Exons: 6
Source: RefSeq, a predicted model, not a curated record
CGGAGGAGUGGUCCCUGGCAUGCGGUGAAUAGCGAAAAGUGUACGGAACAUGAAAAUCCAGUAUGACUUCUCUAAAAAUCUCAAAAGGUUUACAGAGCAGCACUAUUUAAUAAAGAAAUGUGGCUCUGUAGUGGACACCUGUGAGGCAGUGGACAGACAGCUGCUGAUGUCUGAUGCCGGCUGACAAUAAACAGACCUCUCUGGACGUACCUCAUCUUUUGCAGUUCUUUUUUUUUUCUUUUUUUUUCAGAGAAAUUAUAAAAUUGCCCUUCCUGUAACAUGAUGAUCCUGCUGUCCUGGACUGUAUAUGAUGAGCCUACACAUAAUCUCAGAACAGCUGUGGUAAUAACAGGAGAUCCAUUUGGUGAGAGCAGCACUACAGACUCCUGAUGGAGAUCAUGGACCAUUUUCACAAGACUGAUGAUGUGUUUCAGCUGUGUUUUCAUCGUAAAUCUUCACAAUGUUUGUAUAUUUUGAUUUAAAAAAAAUUAUGUGCAUUUAUAACACUAUACUUUGUAUUAUAUCAAAUUCGUAUCAAAUUACAGAAAAAAAUAGUUAAUGCUAAUGCAAAGGUGUUUCUAAUCCAGAGUCUUUGGGAGGAAUGCUAAAUUUGACAUUGUUCUCUCUUCUGACUGCUGUUAUCGGUCUCAGUCAGAUUUUUUCCUUUGAUUGAAAGUUGUGAAAAAGCUAUUGUAGAGUUUUUCAUUUUGCUAUUUGAGUAAAUGAGAAUGCAAAAAU